UAAGACGAACCGUGCGAACGUUGUUCGGAUUCACUGGGCUUAAAGGGCGCGUAGGCGGGCCGCCCGGUCCGGGGUGAAAGCCUCCAGCUCAACUGGAGAAGUGCCCCGGAUACCGGCGGCCUCGAGGGGGGUAGGGGCACGCGGAACUUCCGGUGGAGCGGUGAAAUGCGUAGAUAUCGGAAGGAACGCCGGCGGCGAAAGCGGCGUGCUGGACCCCAUCUGACGCUGAGGCGCGAAAGCCAGGGGAGCGAACGGGAUUAGAUACCCCGGUAGUCCUGGCCCUAAACGAUGGGUACUAGGUAGUGGGCUUGACAUGGGCCCACUGCCGGAGCAAAAGUGUUAAGUACCCCGCCUGGGGAGUAUGGUCGCAAGGCUG
This 376-nucleotide ribosomal RNA is filed under the name uncultured bacterium. RNAcentral describes it as "bacterial SSU rRNA". It matches the Rfam family "Bacterial small subunit ribosomal RNA", at positions 521 to 896 of the family's 1533-position model. The record is from RNAcentral.